This 84-nucleotide transfer RNA is filed under the name Prevotellaceae bacterium. Its description in RNAcentral is "tRNA-Leu". It matches the Rfam family "tRNA". Rfam says of the family: Transfer RNA (tRNA) molecules are approximately 80 nucleotides in length. Their secondary structure includes four short double-helical elements and three loops (D, anti-codon, and T loops). Lineage: Bacteria; Pseudomonadati; Bacteroidota; Bacteroidia; Bacteroidales; Prevotellaceae. The record is from RNAcentral.
GCCCGGAUGGCGGAAUUGGUAGACGCGCUGGUCUCAAACACCAGUGGAUUCAACUCCAUGUCGGUUCGAUCCCGACUCCGGGUA